RNAcentral lists this transfer RNA (70 nucleotides) under Acropyga panamensis. Its description in RNAcentral is "tRNA-Lys". Lineage: Eukaryota; Metazoa; Arthropoda; Insecta; Hymenoptera; Formicidae. The record is from RNAcentral.
CAUUAAAUAACUAAAAGUAAGUUUUGGUUUUUUAAGCCAUCAAUAAUAGUCUAACAUCUAUUUUUAAUGA